RNAcentral lists this ribosomal RNA (253 nucleotides) under uncultured bacterium. Its description in RNAcentral is "partial 16S ribosomal RNA". It matches the Rfam family "Bacterial small subunit ribosomal RNA", at positions 524 to 776 of the family's 1533-position model. The record is from RNAcentral.
UACAGAGGUCUCAACCGUUGUUCGGAUUCAUUGGGCGUAAAGGGUGCGUAGGCGGUCGUGCAAGUCGGAUGUGAAAUCUCAGGGCUCAACCCUGAAACUGCAUUCGAUACUGCGCGGCUAGAGUGCUGGAGGGGAGACUGGAAUUUACGGUGUAGCAGUGAAAUGCGUAGAUAUCUGGAGGAACACCGGUGGCGAAGGCGGCAUCCUGGACCGAGAUUGACGCUGAGGCGCGAAAGCUAGGGUAGCAAACGGG